Aphidius gifuensis is the source of this 1470-nucleotide long non-coding RNA. RefSeq lists it as uncharacterized. The transcript has 3 exons. NCBI's taxonomy places the organism in Eukaryota, Metazoa, Arthropoda, Insecta, Hymenoptera, Braconidae. The record is from RefSeq and is a predicted model, not a curated record.
UUCAACACAAAAACACUAUUAUGCUGAUGAUAAAAUCAUACUACAAAACUGAAUACUCCAUUUCACUUAAAAACAUAUUAUUGACAAUCAAACUCGUCACCAUUCACUGCUUCGAGUAAAAUGAAGUUACGAAACAUAUUUAAAAUAUUUCCAGAUAAGUAUUAAUUAAUAAAUAAAGAAGAACAAUAUGUACAAUUACAAACAUUAAAUUACAACUGAUCUAUUUUUUUUAAGGUUCCAAGCUGGCAGGCGGCAGCCGCUUCAUGUACGUGCAAUGACGCUGCGACAUUAUCGUUUUACCCAAUUACCGCCAGAGGGAAAAGCGAUAAUAAUUUGGCGAUGAAAAUUGAAAAUAAGCUAUUAUUUAUUUUGCUGUCACAAAAAAAUGGCGUGAGCUCAGUACAGUUUGGAGUAAAUAUUAUCAAAUAUUAUUAAAUAGUGUUCAACCAAUGAAAACAAAAAAUAGAAAUUUUAUCUGUGCGUGUCCAAUGACAGUUGAAGAUUGAUUUGUGAUAAAAAGUUUAUUACAAACAGUCAAAGAUGCAAAUAAUUGAACACGAGUGACAUGUACAAGUUUUACCUGGACAUUUGGACAUCAUCUUGACCUCCUGGUGUUUGCUGGUUACUGUUUGCUCCAAAUGAAAUUCUGGGAUAUCCAAGGAUACAUAUAAGGUGGCCUUAUGAAUAAAAUAUCAGUGCUAAUGCCUGGAGGCUGGGCGACGCUUUUUUCUCCCCUUGAAUGAUGCAAUAUUAUGCAAAAAAAAAAGGAUGAAAAAAAAAAUACAUACAUACAAACAGUCAAACAAAUUUGUAACGUAGGUAUAGUUUUCCUGAGUCGUCAACAAAGGGUAUAUAUGGUGUUCUGACGAUUAGCCGGAUUUACGUAAAUCAAAAUCACCCUAACCAAGCACGAAUGAAAAUAAGAGGGAUGUCUAAAUUCGAAUGUCGAUGCCUUGUUAGAUGUUAAGGCCAGCCAAAAUGAAAUGGUGCGGACAUAAAAAGAAAAGCAUAAUUACUACAUAGGGGUUACUACAGCACGACCCCCAUUGUGUAUAAUACAGUACAUCCAAAAAGUGUCUCUUGGGUUUUAUAUGCACAAAGUCAAAAAGAAAGACGAAGAGUGCAAAAAAUAAAUAAAUAAAAACAAUAUAAAUAUAAGUGAAUAAAAAUAAUAGUGAGAAAGAAAAGAAUAGUUAGUAGAAAAUGUAAAGAUACCAAGAUGGUAUACACUCGUAAUAAGAUAUAUCGUUUAAUUUAAUAACCUAUCAAAAAUAUCUACUACCGCCCCGGUGAUAUUCCCCGGUGAGCGCCAAGAUAAGGCAAAACCUGAUCGUAAAUAUCAAGACAAUAGUCUACCAGAGUUUGGGGAUUGAAACGAUUACAUUUUAACAUUAACCCACCCUCAUUUCACCCACUCAUAUUUCUUUUAUAUAUAUAACAUGCAGUAUGUACUUCAGCCACCCACUUACA